Molecule: ribosomal RNA, 1592 nt
Filed under: fermentation metagenome
Description: bacterial LSU rRNA
Rfam family: Bacterial large subunit ribosomal RNA
Source: RNAcentral
UCCAAUCGAACCCGGAGAUAGCUGGUUCUCUCCGAAAUAGCUUUAGGGCUAGCCUUGUAUUAGAUUACCGGAGGUAAAGCACUGAAUGGUUAAGGGACCGAAAGGUUACCAAGACCUAUCAAACUCAGAAUGCCGGAUAAUUGAUGUACAGGAGUCAGACGGCGGGAGAUAAGUUUCGUCGUCAAAAGGGAAACAGCCCAGACCCACAGCUAAGGUCCCAAAACACGGUUAAGUGGAAAAGGAUGUGGGGUUGCACAGACAACCAGGAUGUUGGCUCAGAAGCAGCCAUACAUUAAAAGAGUGCGUAAUAGCUCACUGGUCGAGUGACCCUGCGCCGAAAAUUUAACGGGGCUAAAUCGUGUACCGAAGCUUGGGAUGCAGCAAUGCAUGGUAGGAGAGCGUUCUGUACGGGGCGAAAUGAGAGCGAAAGCGCUUGUGGACUGUACAGAAGUGAGAAUGCCGGAAUGAGUAGCGAGAAAUGUGUGAGAAUCAUAUUGGCCGAAAAUCUAAGGUUUCUGGAGGAAGGUUCGUCCGCUCCAGGUAAGCCGGGAGCUAAGGCGAGGCCGAAAGGCGUAGUCGAUGCACAUACGGUGGAUAAUCCGUAGCCGCCAAAAGAUUUAAGAUAAGUGACACCUGAGAAGUCUAUAACCCGGGCGAUGGUUGCCCCGGGCGUAAGGGACCGAAAUUAGAGUAGGGAAGUAUAGAUGGAACAGGGCAAGAAAAGCUUAUUGGUAUAUCUGAGGCGCCCGUACCGCAAACCGACACAGGUAGAUAGGAAGAGAAUUCUAAGGCCAACGGGAGAAGGGUAGUUAAGGAACUCGGCAAAUUGGCCCCGUAACUUCGGAAUAAGGGGCGCCCACGCAAGUGGGCCGCAGUGAAAAGGCUCAGGCGACUGUUUAUCAAAAACACAGGUUUCUGCAAAAUCGAAAGAUGACGUAUAGGAGCUGACACCUGCCCGGUGCUGGAAGGUUAAGAGGAGAUGUGCAAGCAUUGAAUUGAAGCCCCAGUAAACGGCGGCCGUAACUAUAACGGUCCUAAGGUAGCGAAAUUCCUUGUCGGGUAAGUUCCGACCCGCACGAAAGGUGUAACGAUCUGAGCACUGUCUCAAUUACCCGCCCGGCGAAAUUGUAGUACCGGUGAAGAUGCCGGUUACCCGCGACAAGACGGAAAGACCCCAUGGAGCUUUACUGUAGUUUAAUAUUGGAUUUCGGUAAUUUAUGUACAGGAUAGGUGGGAGACACGGAAACUUGCGCGCCAGCGUGAGCGAAGUCGUCCUUGGGAUACCACCCUUAAGUUGCUGAAAUUCUAACCUGCGGCCGUAUAUCCGGCCGGGGGACAAUGUUAGACGGGCAGUUUGACUGGGGCGGUCGCCUCCUAAAAGGUAACGGAGGCGCUCAAAGGUUGGCUCGGCACGGAUGGAAACCGUGCAAGAGAGUGUAAACGCACAAGCCAGCCUGACUGCGAGGAUGACAGUCCGAGCAGGAACGAAAGUUGGAGUUAGUGAUCCGGCGGUAUGAAAGUGGAAUUGCCGUCGCUUAACGGAUAAAAGCUACCCUGGGGAUAACAGGCUGAUCUCCCCCAAGAGUCCACAU